This 245-nucleotide long non-coding RNA is filed under the name Struthio camelus australis. RNAcentral's name for it is "lncRNA (ENSSCUG00000009344.1)". Lineage: Eukaryota; Metazoa; Chordata; Aves; Struthioniformes; Struthionidae. The record is from RNAcentral.
GAUACAGAGACUUGUAAGAUUGAAGGAAAUCAUCUUAUCUGGUUUUUAUCCUUUUUGGAAGCAUCAAAAGGAAAACUGGAGGCUGCAGUGAUAUACAAAGCUUUCUCAGCAGAGAAAAUUGGCCUCUUUACUUUGGAAGACUUUUGUCUAUGGUUUACGCAUUUAAGAGCCUUCCCACCGACUUUCUACAAGCUGGAUGAAAUAUAUCAAUAAGUAAAAUGUUUGAUGUGCUCCAGUCUUUUGGA